This 255-nucleotide ribosomal RNA is filed under the name uncultured bacterium. Its description in RNAcentral is "partial 16S ribosomal RNA". It matches the Rfam family "Bacterial small subunit ribosomal RNA", at positions 29 to 306 of the family's 1533-position model. The record is from RNAcentral.
AGCGAACGCUGGCGGCAGGCCUAACACAUGCAAGUCGAACGGAUCCUUCGGGAUUAGUGGCGGACGGGUGAGUAACACGUGGGAACGUGCCUUUUGGUUCGGAACAACUCAGGGAAACUUGAGCUAAUACCGGAUGUGCCCUUCGGGGAAGGAUUAUCGCCAUUAGAGCGGCCCGCCGUCUGAUUAGCUAGUUGGUGGGGGUAAAGGGACCGUACCAACGGACUACGAUCAGUAGCUGGUCUGAGAGGUUGACCA